This 107-nucleotide small nuclear RNA is filed under the name Propithecus coquereli (Coquerel's sifaka). The record is from RNAcentral. Lineage: Eukaryota; Metazoa; Chordata; Mammalia; Primates; Indriidae.
GUGCUCAAUUCGGCAGCACAUAUACUAAAAUUGGAACGAUACAGAGAAGAUUAGCAUCGCCCCUGCACAAGGAUGACACACAAAUUCGUGAAGCGUUCCAUAUUUUU